UGAGGAAUAUUGGUCAAUGGUCGCUAGACUGAACCAGCCAAGUAGCGUGCGGGAUGAAGGCCCUCCGGGUCGUAAACCGCUUUUAGACGGGGAUAAAAGGGCGUACGUGUACGCCGUAUUGCAUGUACCGUCAGAAAAACGGACCGGCUAAUUCCGUGCCAGCAGCCGCGGUAAUACGGAAGGUCCGGGCGUUAUCCGGAUUUAUUGGGUUUGAAAGGGAGCGUAGGCGGACUUUCAAGUCAGUGGUAAAAUCGUGUGGCUCAACCAUACCUCGCCAUUGAAACUGGAAGUCUGGAGUGCACACAGGGGUGCCGGAAUUCAUGGUGUAGCGGUGAAAUGCUUAGAUAUCAUGAAGAACUCCGAUCGCGAAGGCAAGUGCCCGGGGUGCAACUGACGCUGAGGCACGAAAGCGUGGGUAUCGAACAGGAUUAGAUACC
This 437-nucleotide ribosomal RNA is filed under the name uncultured bacterium. RNAcentral describes it as "bacterial SSU rRNA". It matches the Rfam family "Bacterial small subunit ribosomal RNA", at positions 355 to 786 of the family's 1533-position model. The record is from RNAcentral.